AAACAAACUGUGGUGUGCCCUGAGAGGAUGUUAGGUGUGCCAUGAAAAUUUUUAAAGAUAAUUAAUUAAAUUAUUUUGGAAAGAAGUUCAAGGCACAGUAAGUAUAUUCUUUUUUUCUUUUUUUUUUUUUGAGACAGAGUCUUACUCCUUUUCUCUGGGUAGAGUGCCCUGGCAUUAUAUCUCACCGCGACCUAAAACUCCUGGGUUCUAGUCAUCUUCUUGCCUCAACCUCCUAAGUAACUGAGACUACAGGCACCUUCCACGACCCCCACUGGCUUUUCUGUUUUUAUUUUUAUUUAUUUAUUUAUUUAUUUUAUUAAAUCAUAGCUGUGUACAUUAGAAAGGUCUUGCUCUUGCUCAGGCUGGUCUGGAACUCCUGAGCUGAAGCGAUUCACCUGCCUCGGCCUCCCAGAGUGCUAGGAUUGCAGGUGUAAGCCACUGGGCUGGCCUAAUCUUUUUUUUUUUUUUGAUCAACAUAAUUUAAGUGUGCUGAGGAAGUUUAACUAUAGGUUUGAGUGUGCCAUGAGAUUGAAAACACUGAUACUAAUGUCACUCACUCAAGAAUGCCUUCCUGAUAGACUGACAGUUAGUGUUCUUUGGUUCCAGGCCCCAGUGGGCCUCCUGAAAUUCCAACUUCAUGAUGCUCCAGGAGCUGCUCCCCCGAGGUCAGGCCAGGGACGUGGCAACCUCAGACUGCAGUAAGAGCAAUACACACGUUUUUCAUGGACAGUGCUUGGUAAUUUAACAGUUUUCCCAUUCAUCAUCAUUUUUGGUCUUGACAGUAAGCCAACAAGCUCUGUAUCAUCUUCCAAAUGAGAUGGAAGAUGGGACGGGGAUCCCGUAGCUGGUCAGUGGCAGAUCUGUGACUACGUACAAGUUCUUUGCCUGACUACCCAACUCUGCUUUUUCUAAUUCUGAAGCUUCCCCCCGCCCCUAGGAAGUACCAGCCCAGAUGUAGGCCUAGCAUAAUUGUCAUAGCUUAUCACCCGUCUGGUACAGCUGCUCUUAGGAAGAGUUUUAAAUCUCGUCUGUGACCAUGGGAGAUAUUUAUAAACUGAUCCUAUGUCUCUGUCUUUAUGUUUUUUUUUUUAUUUCAGAUUAAUAUGAGGGUACAAAUAUUUAGGUUACAUUGUUUUCAUUUUUAAGGUAAAUUCAAGUUGUCGUUGAGCCCUUCACCCAGGGGGCUGCUGAACACCCUCACAUUGUGCACACUGGGUGAGAUCUAGCCAAUGGCCCUCCGCCCCCCCUUCUCCUCCCUGUCUCCUUCUCCCCUCCUCCUCAUUAGACUACACUUGUGUUUUUUCUUUUGUGUAAGUGUCUAGUUGUUUAUAUAUUGGUUUCGUAUUAGUACAGCUGUCUCUAGGUCUUUAAACCAUAUGUAGGCGCUCCUAACUUUAGGUCUACGGAUCGUUAACAGUUUCUGUUUUUCUAGUAUUUGAUAACAGAUUUUCCACCCAGUUUCAUAGCCAAUGUCACAUUUCAGGUUUUGUUAUAGCAAGACUCCACUCCUGGAACCUAUUUUUGUAUAAGCUGUUAGCUUUUGCUGCAUAGUACCUAAUCCCAAGAUGCAGUCGUUUAAAACAAUAACUAUUUAUCAGCUCAUAAUCCUUUGGUUCAUCAAACAGGUCUAGGCUAAGCUGGGUGGGUCUGCCUGUCCUGCCUGGGUGUGGUCAGUGGGCAGCAGGUGAGCCAGGGCCUGGUUGAUCCAGGAAGGCCUUACUCACCUGCAUGAUGGUCCCUUCUGUCUGCUGGGCUGGCUGUUGGCUGAAGCAAGGAGGAGUCUAUGCCACGUGUCUCCAAAUAGAUUCACUCAGGGUUGACGGCAUCAUGAAUUUAUGGUUUUACAAAACAGGUAAAAGGGGCAAGCUUCAAUGCAUAGUAAGUGCUCUCCAAGCCUCUGCUUACAUUAUGUUUCUUGAUGUCCCAUUGGCCAAAGGGAGGCCAAGCACAUAUUCAAGAGGUGAAGAAAUAGCUUAUUUUUGUUGAUGGGAGGACCAAUAGUCACAGAGCAAAAGGGUAUACAUACAGGGUUGGAAGGAUUUGUGGACAUUUUGCAAUUUACCAGAGACAUGCUCCAAUUUCCCACUGAGGUGAUGAAGAGCCAAUGUGCUUCCUCCAUUUCUCUCCCUUUCUGUCGUGUUUAUUUGGGAGCAUGCGUUGAGACAGCAGCGUCUUUUGGUGGAAGGAGUCUAUACCCCAAGUGACAGGUGGAGGGGCUUUAUGUGAGUGAGAAUUAACCAUCUGUUGUGCCUAUCACUGAGAUCUUGUGGUUUAUGUGUUACUGCAGCAACAGCUAUCCUAUCCUGACCAAUAUACUCUGAUAUUGCACACAAAAUUUGCUGUGUAUGUGUGUGCAUUUUUCUGGUGAAAAAAAAAGAAAACACUUAAAAGGAUCUGAGAUUCAAAAGAAGCAAAAACAAAAAAAUUUUCCUCAAAUUUUCUCAGCUCACAGAAUUACAUGUUGUCCAUCCGAAGGGAAUGUGGUGUAGUCUGAAGUAUUGGGGGAUUCAGAAAGACCUAGAUCAGCAUGUCAUUUCUCCUAUUUAUUAGUUUAUAUCCUGAAUAAAUCCCUAACCCCUAUGAGCAGUCAACUUCCAAAUUGAAAAUUCAGGCUUGUUGAAAUAAUGCUUCACAAUAACCAUUUAUUGAGUAUCUACCAGGCGCCAGGUGCAAUACAGGGGACUGGACAUCAAGAUGAAUGAGUGGUCAGCCUUCCCGAAGAGAGCGGACAGCUUACUGAGAGGACAGGCACAGGUGACCCUGUGCACAGUGACAAGUGCAGCGAGAGGGGUCUGCACAGGGCAGUGUGGACAUCAGCACUGCAGGUGCAUGUGUGUGCACAUGAGUGAGUGUGUUAUUGGGAAAGCUCUCUCAGCAGUGGGCUGACUCUUAUGAGUUAAAGAGGACUUAGCCAACCAAAGGGAGGGCAUGUGACCCUAUGAGAGAGGGGUGAGCAAAAGCAAGAUGCAAAGGUGGGAAAUUUCUCAAGGUCAGUCGACACCAUCAGCCCUUCAGUGUCAGUGGGGCACAGAAUUCAGCACGAGCAGGGGAAAGAAAUGAGCCAGGAGAGGCAGGCAGGAGCCUUAUCAGAACAAUCUUUCUGAAGUGGACUUGGUUGUGCCUGCCCACCUGACUCCUUAUCAUCCAGGGGAAAAUAAAUGUCAACUCCUCAGGCUGGCUCACAAGGCCCGCCCACGUGGCUCCCCUUUCCUGGACAGCCUCAGCUGCUUCCGCCUAAACCCUUCUAGCAUGCAGGGAUUUCCCCACCUCUGACUUUGCUCAGAUAGGUCCUUCUGUCUUCCCGGCCUUCUUUGUUCUGCAUUUGGGAGUUCACACUUUAAGACAAAGCUCAACUACAAAGGCCCCCUGGCCUUUGCAGGGGAUGUGAGGCAGCCCAGGGGGAUGCGAGACACUUGGGGCCUGUGCAGACACCUGUGCCUUCACUCCUGGGAUGGCAUCUCCAAGUAUGCUCCACAGCGUUCACUGUGCUUUGCCUGUCAAUAUCCCAAAUUCAGAGCAAGAACGUGCAGCGCUGAGUAGCGCCCACGAACAAGAUGAGCGGGGAAGAUACGAAUGAGGAGUUGGCAGGGACUUAUGAACUUUAAGCUCAUCUGUGUGAUGUUGACACAUUAAUCUUUGUUUUUACAGGACACCAAGGUCAACCAUAUAGUAAAAUCUAAAUCAACCCUCCAACAUAUGUUGAAUACCCUAUUUUCUUGAAGGUGCGGUAAAAGCGGGGGAGUACAGGACACAUCUGAGGCUGAACGAGAAGAUGGUCUGAGGCCUAAUCAUAACCAGUGUCUUUCUGAACUGCUGCUCCUUCACCCUGUGCACAGAUGGAUGCACAAACGGGCUUUCAGCUGUGGAUGUAAUACUGGUGUGGCAUCGCCCAGGGACACUGUGCAGAAUGAACGUGGAGUUAAUCCAAGUAACCUGGCUGAGGGGCCCAUGAAGAAUGCGGACUUCCACUGUUUGCAGACUACUCCACAAGAAUCCUUGACAGUCCGUCACGGCCUUUCCUACGUCCCAUUGGAGUGAUCUCACUGGAGCCCCAUGAGGCAUGUCUUUGGUGUUCCCACCUCUAUUUUAACAGCAAGCCAGCAAAGACUCCAUGGUUUGAUGACUUUCCCAGUCAUUCAGCCAGCCUAGGGCAGAGCUGGGAUAAACCAGGUUGUAUUUUUAGACUGUUAUAUUGUGAUAAAAUAUAAAUAAUCUAAUGGUUUGCCUUUUUAACAAUGUGUACGUAUAAAAUUCAGCAGCAUUAAUAACAUCCAUAAUAUUGCACAACCAUCACCUCUAUUUCCAAACCCCUUUAGUUUCCCCACAUGGAAACUCCUGCAUCCACUAAGCAGUAACCCCCCAUUUCCCAAACCCUGUAAACCUCUGAUCUACUGUCCAUCUCUAUGAAUUUGCCUGUUUUUCUUCUUAUCUUUAAAUCAACUUUAUGGAGUCACGAUGUACAUACAAUGAAACACACCCACACCGAAUGCGCAGUGCAGUGAGUUUUGACACCCACGAGAGGUGCAGUGCACCCCUCACAUCACAAACUUCCCUUGCUCCCUUCUGAGUCAAUCCGCCCUCCCAGUGGCAGCCCUGCUCUGCAUUUGACUGAUCCCACCAGAUUUGUUUUUUUCUAGAGUCUCAGUUUUUUCCUACCGCCCUCUCUACACCAUGUGAUUUUGCUCCCAUAGAACGUGGAUGCUGGAAGGGCCCUCAGCCUCACAGCUCUUCUCCUGCAUGAAGACACGUAAGCCCCAGACACAAAGGCACGUUGCCAAAGCCACAAGGACACAGUGGAGAGCCAAGGGGGCAGCCCAGGGUUCCGAUGCCCUUUUUUGUGCCUGUUUUCUUCAUCCUCUCCCAAGCCCAGCUCUUUGGCAUGACGUAUCAGGGCAAAGAGUUUCCUCCAUCACAUUACAAUGACAGCCUCUUCGAAGCUACCUAAAUUGGGAUUAGCACUUUGAGCCCAUUCAACGUUGAUUAUAUUUGUCUGAGCGAAGCUUGGCCACAUGUAGCAAAAGUACAUCAAAAGAAAUACAUCUGUAGUAGCAGAGAGAACACCGCAUGCUGAUACAGGCAGCCUCAGAGGCGUGGUAGGCGGUAGGCCAUGCAACCUGCCUGCUCAGCCAGCUCAGCUACACUCCAUCCCGGGAGGCUGGGGUGAGCGCAAUCAGAGCAGAGCCAAGCUGGGGGUUAGCCCGGAGCUGGGAGGUGAGCCAAGCUGGGGUCCCGCAGCAUCUCCCUGCCUAGGCACAGUAGCUGCAGCCUCCUGGUCUUUUGGGCCCAACCCGCGAGCUAGCUCUGUGGGCAUUUCAAAUUUCCUGGCUUGGCAAAUGAGACAGGCAGUGGUAGCCAGAGUGGAAAUUAGGCUCAGAUAAUUCAAAAUUCUAUCUGAAUUCAUGUUUACAGUGAAGAAAAAUACCCGGGUUUAGGGAGCCUUUAGAAAGGAGCCGGCAAUCCUCAAAACCACCUGUAGGAACUCACAAAAGCAUUUCACCUGCCCGGGGCUCAGCCUCGUCUGCUGCAAAUGGAAUCUGUAAUAUCCUCCACCAGGGGUUGUGG
Long non-coding RNA from Nycticebus coucang (slow loris), 5562 nucleotides. RefSeq lists it as uncharacterized. The record is from RefSeq and is a predicted model, not a curated record. The transcript is spliced from 4 exons. Lineage: Eukaryota; Metazoa; Chordata; Mammalia; Primates; Lorisidae.